This 265-nucleotide ribosomal RNA is filed under the name Listeria monocytogenes. RNAcentral's name for it is "partial 16S ribosomal RNA". It matches the Rfam family "Bacterial small subunit ribosomal RNA", at positions 1016 to 1283 of the family's 1533-position model. Lineage: Bacteria; Bacillati; Bacillota; Bacilli; Caryophanales; Listeriaceae. The record is from RNAcentral.
CCCUUCGGGGACAAAGUGACAGGUGGUGCAUGGUUGUCGUCAGCUCGUGUCGUGAGAUGUUGGGUUAAGUCCCGCAACGAGCGCAACCCUUGAUUUUAGUUGCCAGCAUUUAGUUGGGCACUCUAAAGUGACUGCCGGUGCAAGCCGGAGGAAGGUGGGGAUGACGUCAAAUCAUCAUGCCCCUUAUGACCUGGGCUACACACGUGCUACAAUGGAUAGUACAAAGGGUCGCGAAGCCGCGAGGUGGAGCUAAUCCCAUAAAACU